This 85-nucleotide transfer RNA is filed under the name Buchnera aphidicola (Hormaphis cornu). Its description in RNAcentral is "tRNA-Leu". It matches the Rfam family "tRNA". Rfam says of the family: Transfer RNA (tRNA) molecules are approximately 80 nucleotides in length. Their secondary structure includes four short double-helical elements and three loops (D, anti-codon, and T loops). The record is from RNAcentral. Lineage: Bacteria; Pseudomonadati; Pseudomonadota; Gammaproteobacteria; Enterobacterales; Erwiniaceae.
GCCCGGGUGGUGAAAUCGGUAAACACAAGGGAUUUAAAAUCCCUCGGCUAAUUUAGCUUUGCGGGUUCGAUUCCCGCUCCGGGUA